CAGUGGAAUCCGGUUGACCAAUGGCAUAGCCCACUCUACAUAGGACAGCAUGGACACUAAGCCUUUGACUUAAAGGGCGUGGUGACGGAGACACGAAUUUUAGUUUUCUAUAGUUGUAUAAGCAGUACAUGUCUGAGGAGGAAAACUCUCCCACGUGUUGUUCUGCCUGCAAGUUGUUCAUGGAGCCCCGGGGCAUGUCACUUCAGUCUGUCAUUGGUUCCAUAUCUGGGGCAGGGCCAAGGGAGGCGCCUGGAGACCCGAGAUCUGGAUCGGCCAGCGCGCUCGGUGGAGGUGGGCCAAGCAGAGCUCCAGAGAACACCGCUGGACUGUGAUACACCUUCCCCAGACCCCGUGACCUACCUAUCCCUUAAUUUGUAAGUUACGCCAUUAAAUAAAUCUCCUUUUAACUACA
Long non-coding RNA from Peromyscus californicus insignis, 412 nucleotides. RefSeq lists it as uncharacterized. The record is from RefSeq and is a predicted model, not a curated record. The transcript is spliced from 3 exons. Lineage: Eukaryota; Metazoa; Chordata; Mammalia; Rodentia; Cricetidae.